Molecule: ribosomal RNA, 433 nt
Filed under: uncultured bacterium
Lineage: Bacteria
Description: partial 16S ribosomal RNA
Rfam family: Bacterial small subunit ribosomal RNA
Source: RNAcentral
AACGAACGCUGGCGGCAUGCCUAACACAUGCAAGUCGAACGAGACCUUCGGGACUAGUGGCGCACGGGUGCGUAACGCGUGGGAACCUGCACUUAGGUUCGGAAUAACUCCCCGACAGGGGUGCUAAUACCGGAUAAUGUCUUCGGACCAAAGAUUUAUCGCCUUUGGAUGGGCCCGCGUUGGAUUAGCUAGUUGGUAGGGUAAAAGCCUACCAAGGCGACGAUCCAUAGCUGGUCUGAGAGGAUGAUCAGCCACACUGGGACUGAGACACGGCCCAGACUCCUACGGGAGGCAGCAGUGGGGAAUGUUGGACAGUGGGCGAAGGCCUGAUCCAGCAAUGCCGCGUGAGUGAUGAAGGCCUUAGGGUUGUAAAGCUCUUUUACCCGGGAUGAUAAUGACAGUACCGGGAGAAUAAGCUCCGGCUAACUCCGUG